This 311-nucleotide small nuclear RNA is filed under the name Jaculus jaculus (lesser Egyptian jerboa). Its description in RNAcentral is "7SK RNA (ENSJJAG00000004293.1)". It matches the Rfam family "7SK RNA". From Rfam's summary of the family: 7SK was discovered as an abundant small nuclear RNA in the mid-70s but a possible function has only recently been suggested. Two independent studies have found that 7SK RNA binds the CDK9/cyclin T complex (known as elongation factor P-TEFb). The record is from RNAcentral. Lineage: Eukaryota; Metazoa; Chordata; Mammalia; Rodentia; Dipodidae.
GAAUGUGAGGGCAAUCUGGCUGCCACAUCUGUCACCCCGCUGAUUGCCAGGGUUGAUUUGGCUGAUCUAGGCGGGUGUCCCCUUCCUCCCUCGCGGCUCCAUGUGUGUACCUCCCAAAGCUGUGCACUUGGUCGAAGAGGACGACCUUCCCCAAAUACAGGAGGCUCAACGGUGUACCAGUAGCUGUGCUCCCCUGCUAGAACCUCCAAACAGGCUCUCAAGGAGGGGUGAAAGGGUCGCCAAGGAUGUCAAAGCCUGGAUACACUUUGGAUAUACAGCCUAGGUGUUAAGAGCUUGACCAACUAGUUCUU